RNAcentral lists this ribosomal RNA (653 nucleotides) under uncultured bacterium. Its description in RNAcentral is "bacterial SSU rRNA". It matches the Rfam family "Bacterial small subunit ribosomal RNA", at positions 8 to 670 of the family's 1533-position model. The record is from RNAcentral.
AGAGUUUGAUCCUGGCUCAGGACGAACGCUGGCGGCGUGCCUAACACAUGCAAGUCGAACGAGUUCAUUGGAUUGAGGCUUCGGCCAAAUGAAUUUGAACUUAGUGGCGAACGGGUGAGUACGCGUGAGCAACCUGCCUUUCAGAGGGGGACAACAGUUGGAAACGACUGCUAAUACCGCUAACGCAUCGAGGAGGCAUCUCCUUGAUGUCAAAGAUUUAUCGCUGAAAGAUGGGCUCGCUCUGAUUAGAUAGUUGGUGAGGUAACGGCUCACCAAGUCGACGAUCAGUAGCCGGACUGAAGGUUGAACGGCCACAUUGGGACUGAGAUACGGCCCAGACUCCUACGGGAGGCAGCAGUGGGAAUAUUGGGCAAUGGGGGAAACCCUGACCCAGCAACGCCGCGUGAAGGAAGAAGGCUUCGGGUUGUAAACUUCUUUUACCAGGGACGAAGACGUGACGGUACCUGGAGAAAAAGCCACGCUAACUACGUGCCAGCAGCCGCGGUAAUACGUAGGUGGCAAGCGUUGUCCGGAUUUACUGGUGUAAAGGGCGUGUACGCGGAGAUGCAAGUCAGAUGUGAAAUCUCGGGGCUCAACCCCAACUGCAUUUUGAAACUGUAUCCCUUGAGUAUCGGAGAGGCAGGCGGAAUUCC